UACGUAGGGUGCGAGCGUUGUCCGGAAUCACUGGGCGUAAAGGGCGCGUAGGCGGCUUGAUAAGCGUGCGGUGAAAGCCCGGGGCUCAACCCCGGGUCGGCCGUGCGAACUGUCGAGCUGGAGCACUGUAGAGGCAGGUGGAAUUCCGGGUGUAGCGGUGGAAUGCGUAGAGAUCCGGAAGAACACCGGUGGCGAAGGCGGCCUGCUGGGCAGUGGCUGACGCUGAGGCGCGACAGCGUGGGGAGCAAACAGG
RNAcentral lists this ribosomal RNA (253 nucleotides) under uncultured bacterium. Its description in RNAcentral is "partial 16S ribosomal RNA". It matches the Rfam family "Bacterial small subunit ribosomal RNA", at positions 524 to 776 of the family's 1533-position model. The record is from RNAcentral.